AUCCUUUUCUGGUUCAUAAGCAUGAUGAUUGGGUGUUUAAGCGGCUGUGUGACAUGUGCCUCCCUUAAACCUUGUUACGAUGUCGGCACAUUACCCUUCUGACG
Small nucleolar RNA from Talpa occidentalis (Iberian mole), 104 nucleotides. RefSeq annotates it as small nucleolar RNA U13. The transcript has a single exon. The record is from RefSeq and is a predicted model, not a curated record. Lineage: Eukaryota; Metazoa; Chordata; Mammalia; Eulipotyphla; Talpidae.